Caretta caretta (loggerhead turtle) is the source of this 493-nucleotide long non-coding RNA. RefSeq lists it as uncharacterized. Lineage: Eukaryota; Metazoa; Chordata; Testudines; Cheloniidae. The record is from RefSeq and is a predicted model, not a curated record.
AAUUGAAAAAAUAUUCCCAAUUUCUGGCAGGUUCCCCCCCUUCAUCGUAUGAUGAUGUGAGAGGAAAAUUCACUUACAGUCUUUGGUAAUCAAGUCUUCCCGGCUCACAGAUGGAGACUACGGGAGGCAGCUCAUCCCAGAAGAGAUCUUUUCAGAUGAAAGGAAAGCCAAACUGAAGGCAUUUUUCCAAGAGGAAUACUCAACUGCAGAGAAAAUUUUCAUUAGCAAAGUUCUUCAAAAACACUUGCAAAAGUGGAGGAAGAGAAUGAGCCAUGUACAGAUUGAUCACCAUUUCCCAGAAUGAGGGGGAGGAAUUGCUGUGUAAAUAACAACUGACACUGUUGAAAAGGUGGGCUAUUUCUUACAACAGAAAAAGGAGAUCCAGACAACAUACUCUUCACAGAAGACACUGAAAAAAAAGAUGCUAGAAAUUACAUACACAUUGGACAGUAUCCAGGUUUCAGGGCCAAAGUUUCACUUACUUUAAGAAAGC